Loxodonta africana (African savanna elephant) is the source of this 5227-nucleotide long non-coding RNA. RefSeq lists it as uncharacterized. Lineage: Eukaryota; Metazoa; Chordata; Mammalia; Proboscidea; Elephantidae. The transcript has 3 exons. The record is from RefSeq and is a predicted model, not a curated record.
GCCCACUCACUUCUCCAAGCUGCUGCAAGCGGAAUCGGAGGCGGCAGCCCUGAUUGCUCCGUUCCUUGCCCAAUGAAAUAAAGGCAUUUUUCUGCUCUCCCAGCUCAGCCUCUUGUUUAUUGGCUGUGACAAGUCACUCCAAGCAGAACCUGGGUUUCUAACCGGCAACGUUUCCUGUGCGUAUUUUUUCAGGUGGAAUGGGAAGAAACUGCUGUGGACCCAUAUCACCGAAAGCAGGAUGGAUGAGCAAUGGGUGUUUGCCAGGAAUUCAAAGGAAUCUGCAGCUCUAACAACUUUGCUGCUGAGGAGGUCAACUACUGGCAAAAGAGAUGCCGGAGCACUUACAGAUGAAGAUCAAAGACCACAGCCUUCAGUACGGAUUACACCUCAACAUAAAGAAAACAGAAAUCCUCACAACUGGGCCAAUAAGCCAAAUCAUGAUAAAUGGUGAAAAUAUUGAAAUUGUCAAGGAUUUCAUUUUACUUCAAUCCACAAACAACGCACACAAAAGGAGCAGUCAAGAAAUCAAAUGACAUUGGGCGAAUCUGCUGCAAAAGACCUCUUCGAAGUAUAAAAAAGCAAAGAUGUCACUUUAAGAACUAAGAUGCACCUGACCCAAGCCAUGGUGUUUUCAAUCACCUCAUAUGCAUGUGAAAGCUAGACAAGGAAUAAGAAGUACCAAAGAAGAAGAAUUGAUGCCUCUGAAUUAUGGUGUUGGUGAAGAAUAAUGAAUAUAGCAUGGACUGCCAGAAGAACAAACAAAUCUGUCUUGGAAGAAAUAUAGCCAGAAUGCUCAUUAGAAGCAAGGAUGAGACUUCAUUUCACAUACUUUGGAUAUAUUAUUAGGAGAGACUAACCCCUGAAGAAGGACAUCAUACUGGGUAAAGCAGAGGGUCAGCUAAAAAAGAAGAAGACCUUCAAGGAGAUGGAUUGACACAGUGGCUGCAACAACGGGCUCAAGCAUAAUGAUUGUAAGGAUGGCACAGGACUGGGCAUUGUUUCAUUCUGUUGUACUUGGGGUCACUACAAGUUGGAACUGACUUGAUGACAUCUAACAACAUACAGCAGACUCAUAGAGGCCCUAUGUAGAGGUUAGAAUCCACAACACAUAAAAUGGAGGAUAAUCUACUGUACAUGGAAUCAUGGCCCAGUCCAGUUGACACAUAACCCCAACCAUCACAGGCUCCAUGUACCUUAUUUGCAUAUUCCCAUUCAUUUAUUGUGUAUGAGUCACAAAGACCAUGGCUAGAAGGACCAUAUUAAGUAAUUCAUUGCGUGGCACUUGAGUUUGGGGUACAAAUUAUCAAAUAGAUUUAAGAAAACAACAACAGCCUAUUGCAGUCAAGUCGAUUCUGACUCAUAGAGACCCUAUAGGACAGAGUAGAACUGCCCCACAGGGUUUCCAAGGAGCAGCUAGUGGAUUCAAACUGCCAACGUUUUAGUUAGCAGCUGAGCUCUUUCUUAACCACUGUGCCACCAGGGCUCCAAAGUAGAUAACAGUGCUUAUUAUAUGUCAAGUGUUAUCUCAAGAACUGUACAUGGAGAAACUCAUAUAAUUCUCUCAACUUCUGUGAUAUAAGUACUAUUAUUAUUUUCACUUUAUAGAACCCAGAAAAUUUGAGGACGUAACCCUGGCAAAUUGGACAGAUCACAUUCAAACCUUCCAGAGCCAAUGACCUUGGCUAUGAUGCUACGCUGACUCUGUGAAUACACCAUGCGUCAGGGCAUUUCUCCCAAACGUGGUGACAACAAAUGAUACUUGAGAAACAUAGUAUAGUACUUCUUGUCACUAAAUCAGGGAAUAGUUAUUUGCUGAGCAACUGUUUUUUUUCCCAGGAAAAUACUAUGCUCUGUGAUGAAAUGCCCUUGAAUACUUAUUAAAAGAAUGCUGUUGCAUAUUGUCAUCUCUGUAUUUGGAUAUUUGGAUCAUUUCAUAAGAGGAAAAUCAUUCCAUUUCUAUUUCAACCAAUGUCAAGAAAAUGCUCUGUUUAAUAUACAUUUAUUGUUUUCAUAGUUUAUUAUCCUAGGACCUUAGCCUAAUCCACAACAACAUUGGCCAAGCCUAUAUAAUUUGUAACAAUAGGCCUCAGGCUAUUUUCUUAUUCACCUACACAAACUCUAACUAAGCUGUUGGUAAGGUCUUUCCGAUUUUUUAGUCCACCUUGUUAUUUGCUUUUGCUUUCAUUGCUAUUUUGAUUCAGUAUAUCAUAGUGAUUUUAAUUUGUGUACUGCCAACCUGUGUGAAGUUAAGCACAUUCCUAACUGUGCUAUGCCUUAGUUUUCUCAUCUCUAUAAUGGGCAUGACAGCAUGUGUUGAUGGGAUAUUUGGGAAGAAUAAAUGACAUCACUAUUGCUGGAAGCUAGUACUUAAUAAGCAGUGUUUUUAUUAUCAUUGUUGUAUUUUUAUGCUUUAACUUAAUUUUUUGUUUAUAAGUUAUGUGUGAUAACUUGGAUAUCUCUCUCGUGACUACAUUUGUAGGCCUGCGAUUCUCCAGCGCUUGUUUCUCUGAUUCUCUGUUACUUGCUCAUUGUAAAAACAUGGAGCACUUACUUUGUUUCCAGCAUGGGAGCCAAGUGCUUGAUACACACACACACACACACACACACACACACACACAACAGAAACAAAACGAAAGCUUUGCUGGUCCUGUUGCCUUUCCUGUGUUUGAUUUACUAAUAAACAUAAUUCAGGUUCGAUUAGUACAUUACACAGAUUAUUAGGUAAACCGUUAUAGAAAAAGAGACUGCGAUGUCCUUCUCGGUCUGAGUACAUUUCACCUGAGGGGGCAAGGCAUGUCAUUGAGUAACAAGAUAGAUAUACCGAAUACCUCCUUCCAGUUCUAGUGAUAUAAAUAUGUAAAUCAUAGAUCAUUUCAAAGUAAUUUUUCUUGUGAAAUGUUUUUCUGUCUUCUCUGAAUUGGCCAAUUUUGGAGGGCUUCUCAGUUCCCUUUUUUUAGGUCUUUUUAUUUCUCAAAUCAGCGUACAACAAACCUUAAUGAAACACACAGGUGUAAAAUAUUUGGAAUCUCAUGAGCUUUUGUUUUCAUGGGUUCAGUGGAAGAGAAACCCAAUACUUGUUGGAUCUGGGAGAUUCUGGCCCUUGAAUUUGGCACUGAAGUGAGCAGCACAGUUAAUGUUGCACUUUAUUUCAAACGCACACACACAAGCACACUGUUUUUGAAAGGGAGCUAUCUAUGGUGGAGAAAAGGUUUCUUUUAGAUGAAGGGAAUAGGAGUUACUUAGGAAUGACAUGUUUGACUGAUUUUUUGAUUGCUCAUUAAACUAGAUAUAAACAUGUAUUUGAAUUGUAGAAUUGAGUUUAGGAAAACUGAAAUAUCCAGUCUUCUGGCUGCUGCAAAUGGUUAAACACAGGACUACUUAAUGAAAUGUUUUAGAUUCAAACCCACCCAGAGGCUCCUUGAAUGUAAAGCCUAGAGAUAUGUUUCUGAAAGAUCACAGCCUUGAAAACCCUAUGUAGCUGUUCUCCUCUGCACACAGGGUGUCACAGUGAGUGGGAACUGACUUAAAGACAAACAACAACAGCAAACAUAAAAAUAUUCACAAGACAUAGUUGUGAAACUGAGAGGUGUGUCUUUGCAUUAUUGCCUUGAUUACUGUGUUACUUUUCCAUUUGAUAUCUGAUGUUGUACACAAUCUAUGGGGACAUAUUUAACUUCUAUUUUAUAAAGUAAUUUUCAUCAAAUAUUGUUCAUUACCAUAUUCAGUAUUCGGAGUUGGGUCUGACACAUAACUAUAGCUAUCCAUUUCCUAUUUUUGGAGGAGGAAUGAACGUAGAAAAUAGAGUGACCAAGAGCAGGAACCAAGCAAUCAGAAUAUGAAACUCAUUUAAGAAAUAUAGGAGUUAGUGGCCAAAUUGGGAAUAGUACAGAGACUAGGUCAAAAUAAAUGCUACAAAUAUUAGUAAUUAUCACACUAAGCCAGGCAUCAGUCAGGAUCCUCUCUAACCUUUCAGAUAUACAUAAAAAAAUGUCUGGAAUGUCCUAAAUUUCCUAUCAUUUGGAUUUCCAACACCUUGGAAAGGAUUUCAAGUUUCCCAAAUGAAUAUAUUAUACUUUUAAAAUGGUUGUAGAUUUUCAAAGUCAAAAGCUUUAUUUUUCAUUCUGUAUUCUCCAUCCUUUUACAUUUCAGAGCAUAUUGGAGGUGUUCAAUUAAGUUGCAGGGAUGGUAAUAUCUCAGAUUGUAAGAUCUCUAGUGCAUGGGAACGUUUAAGACAACAAUCUUUAGACAGAAGUGAGUUAAAUCCUAACUGGUUUAAAAGAGUUUCUCUGCUUAAUGAGAAGACUCCUUAAACCGUUCUGUGGAGUAAUAAAUUUGGUAAACUUAAUUAUAAAUUAACAAUGUAUUAUUGUUAUCAACUAAGAAGUAGCAUGAGAAAAGACAACACACAUAUUGAAGUCUUUUUUUUUUAUCUAAUGUAAAUUACGGAGAGGCAUAUCAGGGAGUGUCUGAAAAAAUUGACUACUAGGAGAGAUAUAAAUUAAGCAAUUAGAAAGCAAUAAAGCAUCAGCGUUAUUUAGACUAUAAGGAAAGACAACCAAGAAAGAACGGUAAAACACAGGACAGUUGAAAUGAAGCAAGUCACUUGAAAAACAAUGACACUUCCACAGUAUGCGAGGCAACUAAAACUGCUUCUUGAUCUUAACACCAAAGAGAAACUAAUUUUUCUCUUACAUUGGUCUGUCUACUACCAUGAAUUAUCUUCUGCCAUGAAUAGACAGUAUAUCUUUGUUUUUAUAUUGGACAGUGUGAGCAGAAAGCUAGGGGCAGGUGGCCUUAAGGUCAAAAUGUCAGAGAUGACAUGGAUCUCGCCUCUAUUCUCAUCUUGCCUUAUUUAUUUUCUAAAAGAGUCACUUUAUUUAAAAGGGAUAAAAAUGAUGCAAUCCUGCAGUUAUUUACUUGAGUAAUAAGAGAGCUAACAAGCAUAGCUAUUAGACUCCAGAUCAUCUGAUCUUUGACAGGAAGCAUCACGAAAGGUGGCUGCCUGGACCGUCUGUCUCAAUACAGCGAUACAUUUUGAGACUUGAGAGUUUUCUUUUGCAUUUCUUAACUCUGUUCCUGUUACUUUAGAUGAGGAUGUUUUGAACCUACCAUCUGCAUGUUCUAAGUAACAUUCACUUCAAUAAAUUCAAUAAAAUGUCAUAGUGGUGUAUUUCUGACUCUGUCAGUAACCAAAAUAUGUUAUUUUCCCCCUUAAAUGUGUUUCAAU